AAAAACCAUAGAAUUACCAAAUGCCGCGGAACUUACAAGUACAAUGAUCAGUGAAAGUACAGAUCAAGUACAAUGAAAAUGCCCUGGAUUUACAGUGUAAGAACGGUGCAUAAAACUACUAAAAUACAUAGCAAGUACACUGAAAAAGCAUAUGAACUUACAGUGUAAAUACAGACUAAAAAUGCAGAGUAACUACAGCGAUACUACCAUAAUAAAUACAGUGUAAAUCACCAAAAAAUCUAUGCUGGAAUACCAAGGGAACUAAAAUACCCAGGAACUUUAAAAAUACACCGGAAAGACCACUGUCCUCCUAAUUCUCGACUUUUUAUACAGAUCCAGUAAUUCACAGAUAAUUCUUUACAAAAAAAUGUAGAUGGGGAGCAUGAGAAGAACAAUAACAAAAGACAAUCUACUGUCACUAUCACAAGAAGAUCUCAUUCAAAAUGUGAGUAUCACUAAAUGGCAAAAACUCACAAGAAAAUGUUGCGUACAUCAAAAUCAAAAUAGCUCACACAAAAAAUACAUUGUAGGAAUCGUUUUCUUUUACAGCACUCCUACAAUAAGACAUUAUGUACAAGGUCAGAAAAGCAACUUUGAAAUACAGUAGUGGUACCAAACCUCUUGACAAAAAAGAGUGUUUUCUUAGUAUGCUAUUCCAACAAGAACUCCAGUUAACUUAACAUGGUGAUUGCAGGUACAUUCGGCAAAUGGGGCUACAUCAACAACACAAUUAAGAGUGGAGGACUCCAGUAACAAAACACAUAACACCAACAGCCCAACAAUUCAUUCUAGAACAUUGGAAGAAAUGCAAAACAAAGCUACACCAAGCGAAGAAGGCGCAACAGAACCGAACCCCUGGAAAACAGACAUGUUUGCCCACAUGAAUUUGGAACAGGUGGGCACAUUAAUAAAAUUUCAGAAACAAGUACAUAUCAUACAAGUUGAAACUAGUAAGAAGAAUAAAUCCGAAACAAAAUGCUAAGUAUCCAGGAGACUGAAGAUGUUCACCCCAGUUCAGCAGCAACAAAAACAAACUCAAACACUUGCCACAGCAAUGAAGAAAGAGAAAGGGGAGAAUCAGAGCACUCACACAAAUGCAAAUUCCGAAGAUGAUACUAAUGUAACGUCCUGGCGAGAGACUUUCCGAAGCUUACCCAUUAAACUAAAACCUAUAAAUUGCAGAGCUGAAGCAUGAAUAUUACACUAAAAAUUAGGGCGGAAAUUACACUAUAAAUACAGAAAUAAAAGCAAGGGGGCUUAGACUGUAAAUCUGGGAUAACACUGCAUUAUUGGGAACAUUACACUGUAAAUACAUAGAAUAAGCAAGGCGUUUAUAAUGUAAAACUAGGGUUACACUGGAAUUCUUGGGAAGAUUACACUGUAAACAGGACAUAGUUCAUAACUGCACCACAACGACACUCGAACAAUCAACAAGAAUGAAAGCCAAAAUUUCAGGAAUUACAUAACCGAAUCAUACAAAAUUACACUGUAAAAAAUGGGACACAUUAUAACUCUGGGAUAAUAUGUAAGCAGCAUGUGAAUUACACAGUAACUCUGGGGGUAAUUACACUGAAACUCUGGGACAAAUUACACAACAACUCUAAGGUAUAUUACACUGGAACUCUGGGGUAAUUACACAGUAACUCUGGGGUAAUCACAGUGUGUAAAACUCUAGGGUCAAGUACAUAUAAUAAGCAUGAGAAUUACACGGUAACUCUGGGGGGAAUUACACUGCAACUCAGGGAAAUUACACAGUAACUCUGGCCUAUAUUACACUGAAACUCUGGACAUAAUUACGCAGUAACUCUAGGAUAAUUACACUACAGAAACAUAAGUAAAAUACAGACUCAAUACAAAUAGAGUUACACUGCAAAUCCUGGUUGGUUCAAUCAACCAGGAGCAUUAGAAAAAUGAAAGAAUAGAGGAAUUGAAGUGCAAAGCACAUAAAAAUACAGAGAAAAGCGCACAAUUCAAUAGAUAAUCUAGAUAACCUACAUGAACUUCAGAAAACAAAUACUAGCAAAAGAACACAUAAAUUAUUGUGCUUACACUCUAAUACAUGAGCACUGAAAAAAUACAUUGAUAAGAACCAACACUCACAAACUAGGGGUAAGUACAGGGCUAGAACACAGGGGAAAAUAGAAAAUAUAACCUGGAAAAUACACCAAAAACAGAGCUAACUGGAGGCUGGGGUAAGUCUGAUACACCCAGAGGCCAUUGAUAACACUCAGAAGUCAUGGAACCUGUGCACUGCAUGCAGUAGAGGCCACUGAUAACAACUAACUACAACUAAACCUCACCAAAAUUCAUGUAUCUACUACAAAAAACCAACAGGAUCCACGAACAUAAAGACCACCUGCCAGCGCAAGUCACCAAACUCUAACCACAAAAACACUCAUCUGAAACCCUGCAUCUAAUCCAUACAUCUACAUCUAACCAAAAAAAAAACGAGACAACUACCAGCGCCUACCACGAAUCUACAACAACACGGCGGCUACAAACACCAAUCACGAACCCACAAAGAAAUCACGGCAGCAAUUCACCUAGAUCUGGAAAGCCACACACCCAGAAACAAU
This is a long non-coding RNA of Aegilops tauschii subsp. strangulata, 2576 nucleotides long. RefSeq lists it as uncharacterized. NCBI's taxonomy places the organism in Eukaryota, Viridiplantae, Streptophyta, Magnoliopsida, Poales, Poaceae. The record is from RefSeq and is a predicted model, not a curated record.